ACUGGAAGUUUGGCACCUUCUGUAAUUCGGCUUCUCGAAGGUCUGGUUGAUGGAAUGAUUUGAGAUUGGGGGUUCUGUAUAUUGGAUGGUCCAUGUUGACAUAGCGUCCGCAUUAAGUUCAUCAUCGACAUGCAUACAAUGACGGAGGUCGAUGUGUGCAGGUUGUCUAAGGAAAGACGAACCGGGUGAGGCGUGAAAACGAGCAACCAAAAGUCUUCGUGAUGAACAGUAAUGGGAUAGCGCUGUGGAGUGGAACGCCAAUGUCAGCCUGAUUAAUACAAUCAGACUAUCAAUCUU
This 297-nucleotide signal recognition particle RNA is filed under the name Mayetiola destructor (Hessian fly). RNAcentral describes it as "metazoan signal recognition particle RNA". It matches the Rfam family "Metazoan signal recognition particle RNA". From Rfam's summary of the family: The signal recognition particle (SRP) is a universally conserved ribonucleoprotein. It is involved in the co-translational targeting of proteins to membranes. The record is from RNAcentral. Lineage: Eukaryota; Metazoa; Arthropoda; Insecta; Diptera; Cecidomyiidae.